RNA transcript from Synchiropus splendidus (mandarinfish), 1971 nucleotides. RefSeq lists it as uncharacterized. The record is from RefSeq and is a predicted model, not a curated record. The transcript has 9 exons. NCBI's taxonomy places the organism in Eukaryota, Metazoa, Chordata, Actinopteri, Syngnathiformes, Callionymidae.
UCUACUCCAGUGGAAAGUGUUGAUGAUGUUAUUGUUAACAAUGACAAACCAAAUAAGAAGCAAAAACAACCCCUCAUGAAGACGUCCUCUAAAGAGACUAAAACAGUGGAAGAUCCCGUUGGUGGCAAGCGAGACAAAGUGCACUCCCCAGAGACCAAGAAAUUAGCUAAAAUGAAAGUGACACACACAAAUGAGUCAUUGACAAAGACACGGAAAGAAAAACACACAUUUGAAGGAGAAAAAAAUGUCUCUGACGACGCUGUGGAAAACAAUCAUGAUCCACAGAGUGGCAUGCAUCGAGAAGACCUGGAUUCUGUUCGGAGGAGGAGCUCAUGAUAUCCCCGACAAACAAAGGUGGAAGACCAACCAAGUCAUCAUCUGCUCCAGAUGGAAAUCACAUUGAGAGUUGUCAAAUCCUUGGGAAGAGGAAAGGAAAUCCUCCCAAAGAGUUUUGGUUGGCUUCACCUCAGGAUACCCCAGAGCCAGAAUCCAAAGAUGAAUCGCCGGUUGCAAUGUCUAAACAAAACACAGCCAAACCUAGUUCACCUGUGAAAAAAUCUCAAGCUGUCUUGAAGAGGGGGAAAAAUGGAACCGUUUCAGAGAAUCUGAGUUGUGAUAAAAAGGAUAAUAAAAGAAGUAAAAACAAAAGAAUCAAGAAUUCACUGAUUCAGGAUCGAGUCCAGGAACAAAAAUAUCUCGUACUACCAAGCCCCUCACAGCCAUCUGACCACAGCACACACUUGGGACACCAAGAAGCCAACUCUCAUCAGCUUUUAUCACCAAGCAGAGAUAAACGCAGAAGGAAACCUCUGGGUGAAUGGUGGAAAGUUGACGCCUUAGAGGAAGCAGAGACGUUGCCACCUGAUCUGCCGUCGUCCACUACAAUUAAACCUUCAAAAGAAAGAGAAGCUCAUCCCAAAAAAAUUGGAGGAUCUGGACAUCUGACUGUUAAGAGUCGUAGAAGAGCAUCAAAGCCUGUUGGGGGAGCUCUUGUGUCUCGCUUGAACCAAAGCAGGAAAACCCUUAAAUCAAUCCCCAAAUCAACCACGAAGACCCCCAGUGGAGCACAUCAGAGACACAGAUACCAAGAUGAAGCUGAGUUGCCUGCUUCAGGCUCCAAAGUUACACUCAUACAGAAGAAUGGCUGGAGUGCAUGCAAAGUCAUUAUGCAGGAUGAGAGCUCAGGCCAUGAGGGGCUGAACAGCACGUUUGAUGUCUGUCUGAGUGGACCAUCAUCCAGGAUUGAUCUGGACGUGUGUGAGGACUCGGAUUUGUCAUCAUCCCAAAUGCCUCCCGCUGAGCUGUCGAUGUCUGACCUGUGUGCUCCCCCUCUCAAACCUAUGGCGCUCCAGCCCGUGAACAGAACUAACCUGACCCGCUGCAUGAUGAGUCUUUGGUCCUCUCCUGCUGUUGUUGCUGGUGUCGAGACACUCAAGUGUGAAGCUGAACUCUGCAGUUGUCUUUAUGAAUCCACUCCCUCAGAGCGUUGGGCAUCAUGGAGGACAGCAACAAUGGAACGGUUUCAAGUGGGAUGUUCAUUCUCGGCUCCUACAUGAAGAAACCUGUCUGUGUGGAUCACAGCGCCACCACAGUGUUCCACUUGUCAACAAGUACUUUGAAGGUGACCAUCAAUCUACAAGAGUCUUGCUUCAUACCGGGUCACUCCUUCAUCGUGCCAUGUGGCCACACCUACAGCAUUCACAACCUCACCACUCUGCCUGCAGCCCUCUUCUUCACCAGGAUACAAGUCCAGGCUGAUGGAGACGUAUGCAGAUGUACAUUUUGUGUAUCUUUGGUGACUACAGUUGUUUAGUUUUGUCAUAGUUUUGUAAAUAGUUCACUUUUCUGUGAAGCAGUUCUGUCUUUCAGUGUUGUGUUUAUACAGAAUAGGACUUUUUACUGCAUAUCAUUUUGGUAAAAGUCAAGGUUUUAUUGUUAUUAAGUUGUCAAAAACGUUUUUUGGGUCGCAAC